AGGGUGUAAACGCUGCAGACUUGGUGUUGGAGGCCCUUUGGGGGCAUUCAGUGCCGGAGAGAAGUUGUUAAGUCUGCUACUUGGGAGUACGUCCGCAAGGAUGAAACUUAAAGGAAUUGGCGGGGGAGCACCGCAACGGGAGGAGCGUGCGGUUUAAUUGGAUUCAACACCGUAAAACUCACCAGGGAAGACUGUUACAUGAAGGCCGAGAUGAAGACUCUGCUAGAUUUUUCAGAGAGGUGGUGCAUGGCGUCAGUGACU
Molecule: ribosomal RNA, 261 nt
Filed under: uncultured archaeon
Lineage: Archaea
Description: partial 16S ribosomal RNA
Rfam family: Archaeal small subunit ribosomal RNA
Source: RNAcentral